GAGGACAUAGCUCAGUGGUAGAGUGUGUGCUUAGCAUGCAUGAGGCCCUGGGUUCAAUCCCCAGUACCUUCA
This 72-nucleotide transfer RNA is filed under the name Camelus bactrianus (Bactrian camel). It matches the Rfam family "tRNA". Rfam says of the family: Transfer RNA (tRNA) molecules are approximately 80 nucleotides in length. Their secondary structure includes four short double-helical elements and three loops (D, anti-codon, and T loops). Lineage: Eukaryota; Metazoa; Chordata; Mammalia; Artiodactyla; Camelidae. RNAcentral also lists the same sequence under 3 other names. The record is from Rfam by way of RNAcentral.